UACGGAGGUGGCAAGCGUUGUCCGGAUUUACUGGGUGUAAAGGGCGUGUAGGCGGGGAAGCAAGUCAGAUGUGAAAUCCCAGGGCUUAACUCUGGAGCUGCAUCUGAAACUGUUUUUCUUGAGUGCUGGAGAGGAAAGUGGAAUUCCCAGUGUAGCGGUGAAAUGCGUAGAGAUUGGGAGGAACACCAGUGGCGAAGGCGGCUUUCUGGACAGUAACUGACGCUGAGGCGCGAAAGCGUGGGGAGCAAACAGG
This 253-nucleotide ribosomal RNA is filed under the name uncultured bacterium. Its description in RNAcentral is "partial 16S ribosomal RNA". It matches the Rfam family "Bacterial small subunit ribosomal RNA", at positions 524 to 776 of the family's 1533-position model. The record is from RNAcentral.